AACUUUCGGCAAUGGAUCUCUUGGUUCUGGCAUCGAUGAAGAACGCAGCGAAAUGCGAUAAGCAGUGUGAAUUGCAGAAUUCAGUGAAUCAUCGAAUCUUUGAACGCACAUUGCGCCCCUUGGUAUUCCAUGGGGCAUGCCUGUUCGAGCGUCAUUUGUACCCUCCAGCCCUGCUGGGUGUUGGGCGUUUGUUCCGCCGCGCGCGUGAACUCGCCUCAAAUGCAUUGGCAGCCAGCCGUCCCGCGUGGGAGCGCAGCACAUUUUGCGCUCUCCGCUGGGUGCGGCGGCGUCCACAAGCCUAUACCUUUACGCUUGACCUCGGAUCAGGUAGGGAUACCCGCUGAACUUAAGCAUAUCAAUAAGCGGAGGCU
This 371-nucleotide unclassified non-coding RNA is filed under the name uncultured fungus. Its description in RNAcentral is "sequence contains ITS2". The stretch from base 1 to 154 matches the Rfam family "5.8S ribosomal RNA". Lineage: Eukaryota; Fungi. The record is from RNAcentral.